Molecule: ribosomal RNA, 253 nt
Filed under: uncultured bacterium
Lineage: Bacteria
Description: partial 16S ribosomal RNA
Rfam family: Bacterial small subunit ribosomal RNA
Source: RNAcentral
UACAGAGGUCUCAAGCGUUGUUCGGAUUCAUUGGGCGUAAAGGGUGCGUAGGCGGCGCGGUAAGUCGGGUGUGAAAUCUCGGAGCUUAACUCCGAAACUGCAUUCGAUACUGCCGUGCUUGAGGACUGGAGAGGAGACUGGAAUUUACGGUGUAGCGGUGAAAUGCGUAGAUAUCAGGAGGAACACCAAUGGCGAAGGCAGCUCGCUGGGACGGUACUGACGCUGAGACGCGAAAGCGUGGGGAGCAAACAGG